UUUUCAGUGAUAAUUCCAGGGUUGGGAACGUUACUUUAUAAAAAUAUCUAGUUACAGUUACAGUUUCUUCGUUAAAUAUGCAACUGGCUACAGUUACAUCUAUAGAGGUUUAAAAUAUAUAAUAUAUAUAAAGUAACGAAUUACUCCUAAGCCUGGAUAAUUCACUGAUUGACUUUUAGAGAGUUCGUAUCGACGUAACGCUAAUCGUAAGUUUUGUAAUUUCAGAGUAGUACGUGCCAUAUAAUAAUCCGCACGACAGUCAAUGAAAGAAUUUACCCUAAUGUAUGGAAUUCGUAAUAAAUAUCAGAAUAAAUGAUUAUCAAUGUUAACAAUGCAAUUUUGUAACAAUUAAAUAUGAACACGAAACAUCCCAACGCGCACAAUACAUUAAUAUCAGUGUCGAAAUUCUGAAAGCAGACCAAGUAUUUUACAUCCGACAUUCUCGUAUUGCAGAAUUUAUGGUAAUAUUGCUCGCUUUUAUCACGGUCGUGUUUCUUCAUUGUUCAAAGCCAUUUUUACUGAAAAAAGAUAUCUCGAAGAAACACCUUGUAUCCAAUUGUACGUAGUCAGUCAUCUAACAUACUAUAUACGUAUAGUUGUCAUCGAAAUUUAAUGAUGCAUAGCGCGUGUAUAUCUCAAAUAGUACUGUCAUCCUAUAAAAGUUGGCAAUUGUAUUUCAUUAUAAAUAACAAAUAUGUCUACAACACGUAAACUUUUAAAAUGGAGGAUUUUCAACGCUGCUCCUUGCAGACUAAAUUAUUCGUAACGAUAAUGUGAUUUAAAAAAUUCGUUGAUUGAAUUACGAUAUAAAUUGCACCCUGUAAAAUGUCAAUUGACUGAAUCGAGAUUAUGUUGUACAUGUUAAAAAUUGCGCGUUGUGUUCACGAAUGAGUUAAUUAGAGCGACGCUAAAAGUAGAAUUUGUUAGUUUCUGAUCACAGUUUUUUUUAUGAGACUCUAUCUAGAUUUAAGCAAAGACAUCGGAAUGAACUUUCGUAACAUAAUUAUUGUCUAUUUGACGCGUUAAUGAUCUGUAAUCAUCGUAUAAUCCACCCUGCCGAGAAAUAGCCUAACGACUUCUUAUAAAACUGAUGCAAUCCAAAUUUUUAUUUUGUAUAAAUUAUCAAGAAAUCUUCCCUGCGUCUAUCAGUGUGAAUGCGUAUGUGCAUAUUUAAAUGGAAACUAGAGCGAACCGAAUGAGAUUGUAGCCCUACUCGUAUCAUAUCAUAUUAAUUACUAUUUCCAACGGUGCAAAGAAUUUUGUUAAUCAACGAACCUGUCGUUAAAUAAUUGGAUGAUAAAGACUGAUAUGCGCACACUUGCAUUUAAGAAAGCGA
This is a long non-coding RNA of Vollenhovia emeryi, 1336 nucleotides long. RefSeq lists it as uncharacterized. Lineage: Eukaryota; Metazoa; Arthropoda; Insecta; Hymenoptera; Formicidae. The record is from RefSeq and is a predicted model, not a curated record. The transcript is spliced from 2 exons.